GGUCAGCAAUGACACUGUCGUACGGGUGCGUAACGCGUAUGCAACCUACCUAUCACUGGGGGAUAGCCCGGGGAAACCCGGAUUAAUACCGCAUAAAACAGGGGCACCGCAUGGUGAUAUUUGUUAAAGAUUUAUUGGUGAUAGAUGGGCAUGCGUUCGAUUAGCUAGUUGGCGGGGUAACGGCCCACCAAGGCGACGAUCGAUAGGGGAGCUGAGAGGUUGAUCCCCCACACGGGCACUGAGAUACGGGCCCGACUCCUACGGGAGGCAGCAGUAGGGAAUAUUGGGCAAUGGAUGCAAGUCUGACCCAGCCAUGCCGCGUGCCGGAUGAAGGCCCUCAGGGUUGUAAACGGCUUUUAUUCGGGAAGAAGAGCAGGGAUGCGUCCUUGUGUGACGGUACCGAAUGAAUAAGCACCGGCUAACUCCGUGCCAGCAGCCGCGGUAAUACGGAGGGUGCGAGCGUUGUCCGGAUUUAUUGGGUUUAAAGGGUGCGUAGGUGGCUGUUUAAGUCAGUGGUGAAAUACGGUUGCUCAACAAUCGAGGUGCCAUUGAUACUGAAUAGCUUGAAAUAAUUGGAGGCUGCCGGAAUGGAUGGUGUAGCGGUGAAAUGCAUAGAUAUCAUCCAGAACACCGAUUGCGAANGCAGGUGGCUACGAUUGGUUUGACACUGAGGCACGAAAGCAUGGGGAGCAAACAGGAUUAGAUACCCUGGUAGUCCAUGCUGUAAACGAUGAGGACUCGUUGUUUGGCUGCAANGCUGANCGACUUAGGGAAACCGUUAAGUCCUCCACCUGGGGA
This 798-nucleotide ribosomal RNA is filed under the name Dyadobacter sp. RNAcentral describes it as "bacterial SSU rRNA". It matches the Rfam family "Bacterial small subunit ribosomal RNA", at positions 81 to 879 of the family's 1533-position model. Lineage: Bacteria; Pseudomonadati; Bacteroidota; Cytophagia; Cytophagales; Spirosomataceae. The record is from RNAcentral.